AGAGUUUGAUCCUGGCUCAGGAUAAACGCUGGCGGCGUGCCUAAUGCAUGCAAGUCGCACGGAUCACUCCUUCGGGGGUGGUGAGUGGCGAACGGGUGAGGAACGCGUGGACAACCUACCCCGGCGUGGGGGAUACCCGCCAGAAAUGGCGGCUAAUACCGCGUACGGUCCAGGGGCGAGGGCUACCUGGAAGAAAGCAGUAAUGCGCGCUGGGAGGGGUCUGCGGCCGAUUAGCUUGUUGGCGGGGUAACGGCCCACCAAGGCGAUGAUCGGUAGCUGGUCUGAGAGGAUGAUCAGCCACACGGGGACUGAGACACGGCCCCGACUCCUACGGGAGGCAGCAGCAAGGAAUUUUCCGCAAUGGGGGCAACCCUGACGGAGCAACGCCGCGUGACGGAUGACGCCUCUUGGGGUGUAAACGUCUUUUGCCGAGGGAGAGAAUGGACGGUACUCGGCGAAUCAGGACCGGCUAACUACGUGCCAGCAGCCGCGGUAAUACGUAGGGUCCGAGCGUUGUCCGGAAUUACUGGGCGUAAAGCGUGCGCAGGCGGCUCGUGAGGUGUCACGUGAAAGCCCCGGGCUCAACCCGGGAGGGUCGUGGCAAACCGGCGAGCUUGAGGCCGGUAGAGGUGGGUGGAACUCCUGGUGGAGUGGUGAAAUGCGUAGAGAUCAGGAAGAACACCCGUGGCGAAGGCGGCCCACUGGGCCGGUACUGACGCUGAGGCACGAAGGCGUGGGGAGCGAACGGGAUUAGAUACCCCGGUAGUCCUAGCCGUAAACGAUGGAUACUAGGUGUAUGUGGUAUCGACUCCAUAUGUGCCGUAGUUAACACAAUAAGUAUCCCGCCUGGGGAGUACGGCCGCAAGGUUAAAACUUAAAGGAAUUGACGG
RNAcentral lists this ribosomal RNA (890 nucleotides) under uncultured bacterium. RNAcentral describes it as "bacterial SSU rRNA". It matches the Rfam family "Bacterial small subunit ribosomal RNA", at positions 8 to 916 of the family's 1533-position model. The record is from RNAcentral.